Pelobates cultripes (western spadefoot toad) is the source of this 265-nucleotide non-coding RNA. The record is from the annotation of a GenBank genome assembly. NCBI's taxonomy places the organism in Eukaryota, Metazoa, Chordata, Amphibia, Anura, Pelobatidae.
GCGGAAUGUCAAUUUCAAUAAUUAUACAAUACAAUACUACACAAAACACUAUUGGUUGCUAAAUAUUAUACAAAAGGGUAUUACAAUUGCUAACUGUUACAAUACAAACAUAUUACUUACAAGGCCCCAGCCCUUUGGCUGGGGUUAAGUCCAAGCUGGUACUACAUCUUAGGUUCAGUCAGGUACAGGCAAAAGGACAGAGUUUUCUCCUCCAUCUGGUUUUAUUCAGUGUAAGUAGGCUGGCCUGUGAUGUCACUGCCAGAAG